Molecule: ribosomal RNA, 520 nt
Filed under: uncultured Glomus
Lineage: Eukaryota; Fungi; Glomeromycota; Glomeromycetes; Glomerales; Glomeraceae
Description: SSU rRNA
Rfam family: Eukaryotic small subunit ribosomal RNA
Source: RNAcentral
AGCAGCCGCGGUAAUUCCAGCUCCAAUAGCGUAUAUUAAAGUUGUUGCAGUUAAAAAGCUCGUAGUUGAAUUUCGGGGUCAGUAGGUCGGUCGUGCCACUGGUAUGAACUGGUUUUACUGAUUCCUCCCUCUUGAAGAACUGUAAUGCCAUUAAUUUGGUGUUGCAGGGAAUCAGGACUGUUACUUUGAAAAAAUUAGAGUGUUUAAAGCAGGCUUUAGCUUGAAUACAUUAGCAUGGAAUAAUGAAAUAGGACGUUUGAUCCUAUUUUGUUGGUUUCUAGGAUUUGACGUAAUGAUUAAUAGGGAUAGUUGGGGGCAUUAGUAUUCAAUUGUCAGAGGUGAAAUUCUUGGAUUUAUUGAAGACUAACUACUGCGAAAGCAUUUGCCAAGGAUGUCUUCAUUAAUCAAGAACGAAAGUUAGGGGAUCGAAGACGAUCAGAUACCGUCGUAGUCUUAACCAUAAACUAUGCCGACUAGGGAUCGGAUGAUGUUAAUUUUUUAAUGACUCAUUCGGCGCCUU